CCCAGACUCCUACGGGAGGCAGCAGUGGGGAAUAUUGGACAAUGGGGGGAACCCUGAUCCAGCGACGCCGCGUGAGUGAAGAAGUAUUUCGGUAUGUAAAGCUCUAUCAGCAGGGAAGAAAGAAAUGACGGUACCUGACUAAGAAGCCCCGGCUAACUACGUGCCAGCAGCCGCGGUAAUACGUAGGGGGCAAGCGUUAUCCGGAUUUACUGGGUGUAAAGGGGGCGCAGACGGCAGCGCAAGCCAGGAGUGAAAGCCCGGGGCCCAACCCCGGGACUGCUCUGGAAACUGCGGCGCUGGAGUACGGGAGGGGCAGGCGGAAUUCCUGGUGUAGCGGUGAAAUGCGUAGAUAUCAGGAGGAACACCGGCGGCGAAGGCGGCCUGCUGGACCGUGACUGACGUUGAGGCUCGAGAGCGUGGGGAGCAAACAGGAUUAGAUACCCCCGUACC
RNAcentral lists this ribosomal RNA (450 nucleotides) under uncultured bacterium. Its description in RNAcentral is "partial 16S ribosomal RNA". It matches the Rfam family "Bacterial small subunit ribosomal RNA", at positions 330 to 794 of the family's 1533-position model. The record is from RNAcentral.